GAUAUACCAACAGACAGAAUACCUUAAACAGUACCUAUCCAUCUGCAGUUGACGUUUGCUUGAAAUACAAGAACAAUUCAACACAGAAAGGUAAAGAAAUGAUGAAUUUGAUUUAUUGGGUUACAGCAUUCCUAUGCCUGGUACCUGUAAUAUACGGUCUGGAAAAUAUAACAGGUGAAGUUGCGUGUCAUAAUAUCAUGGUGAUUUAUGUUGAUGGUAUUCUGUAUAAGAAUGGCGAUAUCGAUACCUGGGACCAACCUGCCAAUAUCAGCAUUCCUGGGGAUACGCAACUUGUUGCUAUAAAGUGCACCUAUACAGGGCCUGUUGGAAUAAAGAUGACAUUGAACAAUGGCAUUGAAACAAGUGCAGCAUGGAAAUGUAACAACAAAUAUCACCAAGGGUGGAAUGAACUCGGGUUCAGUGACGAUACUUGGCCAAACGCUGUAGUGGUUAAGCCUGAAUGGAUUUGGACAGCUGGAAACACCAAAGAUGAAACAGUCUAUUGUAGAAAGAUCAUGGGUAACCGUACAGAAACCGAUAAUUCACCAGAUCUGGGUUGUCCGGAAAUUGCCGGAAUAUCAGUUGGAGUUUCUGCAAUUAUGUCUGUUAUUACUAUUAUACUUACUGUGGUAUAUUUCUAUAAGGUAUAUGCCGGACCUCAAAGUUACUUUCUGAUACCACUGAUACUAAUACCCCUACUAUGUGUGCUUGCUACAGGAUUGGCAAGUUAUUUUCUGUGUGAAAUAUCGAUGGAUAAAGACGCUGUUAUUGGUAUUGAUGUUGGAGUUUUUCUCUUUGAAGUAAUACUUGAAGUUCUAAUUUUCUGCAUAGCGAACAGACCUCGGGAAUAUAAUGAGCCGCUUAUUCCUUAUAAUAACCCUAAAGCUGUUAAUUAUGGAAGUAGCGACGUAGAAGUCGAAAACAAAGCCAAUCAAGCAAAUUAUAAUAUUUCGCUCUGCAGAAUUGUUUGAAUUCAAGUGUGAACAGCCUAGUUUCCCCUUUCGGAAAAUCUGCUGUCUAUGGCAAUUUCAAUUGUUUCAAACAUUGCCUGGAAGCCCUUUACUAUUUACUUAUUAAAUCACAUGUAUACUAAACAGCAAAAAAAAACGUCAGUACGAUUUCAAAAUCAGAGAGGUACUUUAAUCAAAUCAUUCUAGAAAACGACUUACUAAAUGGAUCAAAGCAAUUUUUUUGUGAACGGUAUGUUGACACAUUAGUAAUUAAUUCAUCAAUUCCAAGACGGUUUAGAGUCUGUAGACAGUCUAUACAUCAGUGGACCGUUCCAUGACUCAUUGGUCAGAAUAACGCUAGCCACGUCGACGCCAUAUUCUGGCCCCGUCAUCUGCAGUUGAUACGCAAUACCGACUCUCAUCUGUGAACAGAACAGUUCUUCAUUGUCUGUAUCGCCAGUUCUGGUGUUGUUGGGCAAACUGUAGACGUUCACGUCGAUGGUGGGUCGUGAGGAUCGGUCCACAUUAAGGGCUACGGCAAUGGACGUUCUCUCCGGUGAGACGUCGGCGCAUUGUAUCUGUUUCCACUGUCUGACGUGAUCUCUCUGAUGCCUGUGCUGAGGAUGAUUAUCCGUGGUGUUGGUGUCCCGAAAGCGUUGCUGAAGCCUGUAGAUGGUCCGGGCAUUGCCCCGGAAAUGAUUGGCAACGUCCGGGGCAGUGCGGCCAUCGUCGAGUCUUCCAAUCGCCUUGUUCGUCUGAGCUCUCGUGAGUCAUUGCAUGCUGCUGACGUUGUAGUGUGAAUGAUUCAACCAGGUAUGGGGGUGCAUUUUAUAGGGCUGGUCCCGGUGAACAGCACGUGCAGCAUGAGUUACAUGAAAGUCACGGAGAACACAUUACCAACUCAGAAUUUGGUUGCGUUUUUGAGAACAUUUCCUGUGUUCAAUUCUGUGUUUGGGAAGAAGCUUUAUUGCUCAGGUAAAGUUGGAGAUUUGGUCACAAAUAUACAAUAAAAACAUUUGGCAAGUUUUAUGCAAUGCGCCUUUUCAGAGUAACAUACCAACCUGACGUUUCUUUUGCUGCUUAGUAUAUUAAGAAAUAUGACCUUUAAACUAAUGUCCCUAACUCAAAAAAUAAAUAUGUUGCGCCUAUCAAGCUAGUAGUAGCUAUGUGUAGAGAGAUGACUAAAAAAAGGAUUAUAUGUACGCUUGUUGUUUCGCAGAGGUUUAUAUUGAGAAGUAAAAUGCUUUGUGAUUGUUUAACUAGAAUUUCGUUAACAGUAUCGUAAUUUGGAACUUGACACAUGAACAUUCACAAAGUAUUAACGAAUUUACUCAUAGGUUUUUUUUAUUUUGUCUACGUGUAUUUCAGGCAUAGGGGAGAUUUAUAUUUUGUUUUAACGUAGUACCCCAAAUAUUAUGGGAUCCCCCGAAAUUACGGGAGUGAUUUUUAUUGUAUUGAGAGAAACUGAUUAGUUAUAUACCUUCGAAGAAGAGUCACCAAUGUGCUGUAUUAUUGUAUGUGUCUAAGAGAGAUAUACCUUUGUUAGUUUUGAUAAAUUCUUUCAAAAAUGUCUUAUUUAAGACUUGUGAAAUGUGAUCAGAUGAUUCAUUAUCCUUCAUCUUGAGGUAAAUAAAACAAUAUGACAAAAUCCUA
This is a long non-coding RNA of Patella vulgata (common limpet), 2603 nucleotides long. RefSeq lists it as uncharacterized. Lineage: Eukaryota; Metazoa; Mollusca; Gastropoda; Patellidae. The transcript is spliced from 8 exons. The record is from RefSeq and is a predicted model, not a curated record.